UGUCUCAAAGACCUGGCAGCCAGUGAACUGUUAAAUGUUAGGAAAAUUUCAGUGGGUGCUGGUUGGCUUUUCAUUCUCGGCAGAGGUCGGUUCUAGGUAGCCUUAUUUCACUUGUCCCAACAGGAAUUUGCCCUUGGCCAUUGGGAUUUCUAUGCCAAUUGUGACACUCAUCUACAUCCUGACAAACGUGGCCUAUUACACAGUGCUGAACAUUCAGGAUGUCCAUAAGAGUGACGCAGUGGCUGUGGUGAGUCUCUUGGGGGAGGAUGUCCUCAUUUGCUCAUGUGCCUCAUGCGCCCUGAGUGGUGCAGUCUUUCUCCGCAGCUGUCCUGGCUCUGCAGGGUGAGGGAUGGGUCUAGGUAGGGUAGACGGUAGGCGUUUUAGCAAGGACUGCCUUUGUUCAGAGAUCGUGGUUAUACGAGGUUACACAACUGUCCUGUGCUGAUAUCCCUUCUUUGCUCUGCCUUCAGACAUUUGCUGACCAGACAUUUGGCAUGUUCAGUUGGACCAUCCCCAUUGCCGUUGCUCUGUCCUGCUUUGGGGGCCUAAAUGCAUCCAUUUUUGCUUCAUCAAGGUACUCUGGUUUCUAAUAGACUGUCGUUAGCACCCACAGGGCCGCCCACAACCAUCUGUAACUAGUUGCAGGGUACCUGUGCAAGAAUAUUUAGUGCAUCCUCUUAACAAUGGCAUUUAAAAGAAGGGCUGUGCAAUCCCAGCUGAAACAGGAGGAUCCCAGGUUUGAGUUCAGCCGGACCUACAUAGGAGACCUUGUUUCUUAAAAAAAAAAAAAAAAA
This 794-nucleotide long non-coding RNA is filed under the name Rattus norvegicus (Norway rat). RNAcentral describes it as "long non-coding RNA NONRATT014231". The record is from RNAcentral. Lineage: Eukaryota; Metazoa; Chordata; Mammalia; Rodentia; Muridae.